RNAcentral lists this long non-coding RNA (339 nucleotides) under Gallus gallus (chicken). Lineage: Eukaryota; Metazoa; Chordata; Aves; Galliformes; Phasianidae. The record is from RNAcentral.
CAUAGAUGACGUCCCCGUCAUAGCUGACGAUGGAGCAGCGUGCCAGCUCGCUCUGCCUGCCCCGCGGGCCCGUGCCCACCAUCUCGCAGUCAAUGGCCACAUACUUGUUGGGACGUGGCGGGCAAAGCUGGACCCCCGUCACGGCGUUACCCACGGACGUCCCGCAGCAGCGGCCCACGAUGUCGUUCGGGGAGGCGGAUGGGGACACGGAGAGCCCCAGCUUGGAGACCUUCCAGCCGCGUGGUGUCACACUGCUGGGGCUGGGGGGCCCGGCGGGACCGUGGGUGCGCUUUGGGGUGGGCGCAGAGGCUUUGGGGAGCAACAGCGGGGUCAUUUGGC